AUGUGGGUACAAAGGAUUGGCCCGUCGUUUCCAUUGUUUAGAAGAAAGAAAAAAAUGUGUUCGCUUGCCCUGCCCUCAUUCCCCAUCCGCACAUCCCUCUCCCUCCCUCGUCUGCCGCCGCCACCACCACCACCGGCGACCUCCUCCAUGGUUGCCACCCCACCCCCUUCUCUCCCCCCUUACCUUCUCCUCAUCAGCGACCUCCUUCCCUCCCCCUCACCGGAUCCGAGGCGUGCGGGCGCGGAGGCGAGCUUCUUCAGCGGUGUCCGCCUCCCUCUCAUCUCCUCUGCUACUGCUCCGCCUCUCCAACCGCCCCGGGUCGCAGCCGCACCGCACGACGGCAGGCCAGGCGAGCUGCACCGCACCAGGUGGGCUAGGGCGAUCUCCAACGCGAGCGCGCGCACCCGUUGCCCACGCCAGCGUGGUCCCCGGCCCCGAGCAACAGGAACACAUGGUUCCUACCCGGGUCGCCGUAGCCGACACCGUCAAAGAGAGGUGGCGGUGUGGACAAGGACGCCAUGGCUGUCUUCGCCGAGAGCGUCCGCAUCUUCAUCCACUGUCUCUCCACCAUUGGAGGAAGAAUUUGGUUAUUUGGAGUGUGCACUGGAGUUAUUGGAAGAUAAUUCCAUUACUAGAUCACAACUUUUGGGACAUAAGUACAGGUGCCGCACCUGGUUAUGCCCCUGCCCGUCGUACAGUCUAAUCUCCCUCCCCCUUGCCUCCUACCUUCUCUCUUCAGCUCCUCUAUUUAUUUGUGCAAGUUCUUUUUUGUUUAUACCUAGAAGGCAUUAUUAUGUCACCAUGAACAUUGGGGAUCCGGCCAAGCCUUACUUCCUGGGUAGCCCAAGUUUGCUUGACUGUUGGUUAUAUUGUAAUUUGAUUUCCCGCUUCUCCGUAGAACAAAGGAGGAGGAAAGGAAAAAGGCUUUUUGUGGUGAUCGGGAUCAAUACCGCCUUCGGUAGCAAGAAGCGUCGUGAUUCUGUCAGGGGGACCUGGAUGCCUCAAGGUGCGUGUUGUUUUGAGAGCUUGAAGCAAGCAGAACGCCUAAGGAGCGUCCUGGGGAUGACAGAGGCAUUGGCGACGACAUCAGGCGAGAGAAUUCAUCAAAAUUCUAUACCUGACAGUCAUGAUAUGAUGGAUCUGGACGAACCAUUUGAUCCCACGUUUAGUCGACCUAUGGGCAACCAUUUUGGUAAUUACGAGAUACACCCUGAUAUGGAUCGCCUUCCAGAGUUCAUGUUAACUCUAGGAAAUGAUAUGAAGACGACAUCGAUCAAGAGCUGCUUGCACAACCAGAGGCGGCAUGGGCUCAACGCAAGUGGACCAUCAUCCAGCACGUCUUGUUCCUGUCCAUGCGACAUUUCCUCAUACAUGAGGGCUACAUCAUUUACAAAUUUUGAUUAUGUACGCCUACAAGGAGAAACUGUGGUACAACACUUCAACACGGCACAGGAGGCAGAUCAGGGCAACUUCAAGGAUAAGGCAACAUCUGCAGACCUGGAGGUGGUUGAGGUGACCUUGCUGUUGGAGUGUGAAUUCAGUACAGGAGGAGCAUGUCCUAGCCCGGAACCGGAACGCGCUACGCGCCACAGCAGGAGGCUGAGGCAUCUACAAGCUCAUCGAGGAAAGCUUAAGAUUGCUUCUGUAGACAAGCUUUACAAGAUCUUCGAGAGAGGCCAGCUAACACGUAGGCCAUCAGUCACUUCAUAUGUAGAGAAGGGAUGGACAGCGCGACUGACGCCUUUGCUGGUUCCUUCUGGCACGUGUAUAUAUAAUGUGGUGGCACUAUCAAAGUUGAAACACAUCGGGUCAUCCCUCCUCGGUAAAGGGGUUAGUUUGUUUGUUCUUUCAUCAGCUCACUCCAAGCUUGAUUACAUGGAGCAUUAUGAAAAGGUUCCUUGGAUCUUCUUGGUCUGCAACAACUGUUGA
This 1929-nucleotide ribosomal RNA is filed under the name Triticum aestivum (bread wheat). RNAcentral describes it as "partial small subunit ribosomal RNA". The record is from RNAcentral. Lineage: Eukaryota; Viridiplantae; Streptophyta; Magnoliopsida; Poales; Poaceae.